Molecule: ribosomal RNA, 676 nt
Filed under: uncultured bacterium
Lineage: Bacteria
Description: bacterial SSU rRNA
Rfam family: Bacterial small subunit ribosomal RNA
Source: RNAcentral
GGGGACAACCCGCCGAAAGGCGGGCUAAACCCGCGUACAUGCCACCGGGGCAUCCCGGAGGCAGGAAAGGCUUCGGCCGGACAGGGAUGGGCAUGCGGCGCAUUAGGCAGUAGGCGGGGUAACGGCCCACCUAACCGACGAUGCGUAGGGGUUCUGAGAGGAAGGUCCCCCACACUGGUACUGAGACACGGACCAGACUCCUACGGGAGGCAGCAGUGAGGAAUAUUGGUCAAUGGUCGGGAGACUGAACCAGCCAAGCCGCGUGAGGGAUGAAGGUACAGAGUAUCGUAAACCUCUUUUGUCAGGGAACAAAGGCGGGGACGUGUCCCCGGAUGAGUGUACCUGAAGAAAAAGCAUCGGCUAACUCCGUGCCAGCAGCCGCAGUAAUACGGAGGAUGCGAGCGUUAUCCGGAUUUAUUGGGUUUAAAGGGUGCGCAGGCGGUCUGUUAAGUCAGCGGUCAAAGCCCGGGGCUCAACCCCGGCCCGCCGUUGAAACUGGCAGUCUCGAGUUGGAGAGAAGUAUGCGGAAUGCGCGGUGUAGCGGUGAAAUGCAUAGAUAUCGCGCAGAACUCCGAUUGCGAAGGCAGCAUGCCGGCUCCACACUGACGCUGAGGCACGAAAGCGUGGGUAUCGAACAGGAUUAGAUACCCUGGUAGUCCACGCAGUAAACGAUGAA